GACGAACGCUGGCGGCGUGCUUAACACAUGCAAGUCGAACGGAAAGGCCCUGCUUUUGUGGGGUGCUCGAGUGGCGAACGGGUGAGUAACACGUGAGUAACCUGCCCUUGACUUUGGGAUAACUUCAGGAAACUGGGGCUAAUACCGGAUAGGAGCUCCUGCUGCAUGGUGGGGGUUGGAAAGUUUCGGCGGUUGGGGAUGGACUCGCGGCUUAUCAGCUUGUUGGUGGGGUAGUGGCUUACCAAGGCUUUGAAGGGUAGCCGGCCUGAGAGGGUGACCGGCCACAUUGGGACUGAGAUACGGCCCAGACGCCUACGGGAGGCAGCAGUGGGGAAUAUUGCACAAUGGGCGGAAGCCUGAUGCAGCAACGCCGCGUGCGGGAUGACGGCCUUCGGGUUGUAAACCGCUUUCGCCUGUGACGAAGCGUGAGUGACGGUAAUGGGUAAAGAAGCACCGGCUAACUACGUG
RNAcentral lists this ribosomal RNA (468 nucleotides) under uncultured bacterium. RNAcentral describes it as "partial 16S ribosomal RNA". It matches the Rfam family "Bacterial small subunit ribosomal RNA", at positions 28 to 507 of the family's 1533-position model. The record is from RNAcentral.